AGAUGUUUGUACAGGUUGCUGAUGUCCUCCUCGUAUUUGCUCCGCUCGUGGCAACAAUAUUAUUUGACUUUUCUUUCACAAAGGGACGCAGCUCGGUGAAGGACCGUCUCCCCCCUGGUCAACAGAAGAGAGAGAGAGAGAGAGAGAGACAACAUCACCCGAGGAACAGACAUCAACCCCCCUGCUGCUUCUUUUGGUGUCUUGUGUUUAUGAUGGCACAUAUAUCAUCACAUAUAGACUGAACAGAGAUCAGAGCACAGAUACAGCAUCAUCAUCUACACUCUGUUAACAUUUAAAUAAAGUGUUUAAAAUUUUAAAAACCUCAUGGUUUCAGUUCAAUGUUAGAUGUUUUCAUGCAGAAAUAGAAUCUGUACUUACUGCAGUUUUUCUGUAACGACUAAAAACUAGUUAAAGGCAGGGUUGGUGAUUUUCUCCAGAUCCACUUUUUAAGAUUCUGGUUGAAAUUGUCUUUUGGUCCUGACAAUGCAAGCAAUGAGCUGAGGUCUGCUUCUGGGGUGGGUGCAGACGGAGCACUGAGGGAAUGCUACUUUUAGAAAAUGAUCAACCCUGCCUUUAACCCAGACAAGACUCUCUCUUACCUGCUGUUUGUAAAGUGUCUUGAGAUAACAUUUGUAUUGAGUUGGCGCUCUACAAAAUAAAGAUUGAUUGAACUGA
Molecule: long non-coding RNA, 675 nt
Organism: Labrus mixtus (cuckoo wrasse)
Lineage: Eukaryota; Metazoa; Chordata; Actinopteri; Labriformes; Labridae
Exons: 2
Source: RefSeq, a predicted model, not a curated record